Molecule: ribosomal RNA, 456 nt
Filed under: uncultured bacterium
Lineage: Bacteria
Description: bacterial SSU rRNA
Rfam family: Bacterial small subunit ribosomal RNA
Source: RNAcentral
AGAGUUUGAUCCUGGCUCAGAUUGAACGCUGGCGGCAUGCCUUACACAUGCAAGUCGAACGGCAGCACGGGGGCAACCCUGGUGGCGAGUGGCGAACGGGUGAGUAAUAUAUCGGAACGUACCCAGUAGUGGGGGAUAACUAUCCGAAAGGAUAGCUAAUACCGCAUACGAUCUGUGGAUGAAAGCAGGGGAUCUUCGGACCUUGUGCUAUUGGAAUGGCCGAUAUCUGAUUAGCUAGUUGGUAGGGUAAAAGCCUACCAAGGCGACGAUCAGUAGCUGGUCUGAGAGGACGACCAGCCACACUGGAACUGAGACACGGUCCAGACUCCUACGGGAGGCAGCAGUGGGGAAUUUUGGACAAUGGGGGCGACCCUGAUCCAGCAAUGCCGCAUGAGUGAAGAAGGCCCUCGGGUUGUAAAGCUCUUUUGUCAGGGAAGAAACGGUGGUCGCUAAUAU